Molecule: long non-coding RNA, 264 nt
Filed under: Arabidopsis lyrata
Lineage: Eukaryota; Viridiplantae; Streptophyta; Magnoliopsida; Brassicales; Brassicaceae
Description: long non-coding RNA (ALYR_LNC003249)
Source: RNAcentral
UUUAUUCUUUUGUUAAAACUCGGUUUAACUAAGUUCGGUCCAACAACUUAGCGCCAUUAUAAUACAACCAGAAGGAAGAAAAACCACAUAAUGUUGAAUUUUAAUACCUGUUAACUUCCUCUGUGGCUUCUGUUUCAAAUUGACUUUGACAAACUCCAACAAGAUCAUCAGCUUUUUCAGCGGGAACAUCAUCAGCUUUUUCAACGGAAACAUCAUCGUCAGGUCCAGUUCCACACAAAUCAUCAUGAUGCUUCUCUGUUGUCU